RNAcentral lists this ribosomal RNA (3001 nucleotides) under sediment metagenome. RNAcentral describes it as "bacterial LSU rRNA". It matches the Rfam family "Archaeal large subunit ribosomal RNA". The record is from RNAcentral.
ACGCCGUCUGGAGAAUGGCUUGGCUUGAGUGCUGAUGAAGGGCGCGGCAAGCCGCGAAAGAGCCCCGGGUAAGCGCAUGCAGCCUUAGAACCGGGGAUUCCUCAAUGGGACUUCCUAUCAGGGUUCUUCGGAACCUUGAUGCUCCCAUUAGGGAGCGGGAACCCCCCGAACGGAAGCAUCUUAGUAGGGGGAGGAAAAGAAACCAAAACGGGAUUCCCUCAGUAGCAGCGAGCGAAGAGGGAAAAGUCCAAACCGAAUCCCACAGGGAAACUUGUGGGAGAUGUAGGGUGAUGGGCCCGGCUUCCUCCUCGCCAGUUAAACUGAAGUGGCCUGGAAAGGUCUGCCAUAGAGGGUGAAAGCCCCGUAAGGGUAAGCUGGAAGGAGCUGAGCUGGAGUCCCGGAGUACCGUACCCUGGUGUGGGUGCGGAAAGUUGGAAGUCACCAACUCCUAAGACUAAAUACAACUCAAGACCGAUAGCGUACUAGUACGGUGACGGAAAGAUCAAAAGUACCCCGGAAGGGGGUGAAAAGUGCCUGAAACCAGACGGUUACAGACGUGUGCGGCCCGGAAGGAUAGAUCCUUUUCAUAGGAACCCGUCGUGAGGCGGUUGUACGAGAAGAGGGGACCAGGGUUGCACGUUCCGUCUAUAAACACGGGCCGGGGAGUUCAUAGCUGUGGCAAGCUUAAGGGUUAGAAACCCGUAGGCGUAGGGAAACCAACAUGCACGCAACCAGCUUGUCUGGUGAGGUGCGGAGUCUGAAAGGGCUCGGAGUCACAGCUUUGAGACUAGAAACCAGGCGAUCUAGCCCUGGGCAGGGCGAAGCUAGGCGAAAGCCUAGUGGAGGCUCGCAAGGGUGCUGACGUGCAAAUCGUUCUUCAGACCUGGGGCUAGGGGCUAAAGACCAAUCUAGCCUGGUGAUAUCUAGUUCCCUCCAAAGUGGGUCGCAGCCCAGUGCCGGACGAGGCGGCUGAUGGGGUAGAGCACUGAUUAGGAAGUAAGGAUCCGAAAGGGUCCAUUUCUUUUUCAAACUCCGAAUCUAUCAGCGUCGUAGACUCUGGUAAACGGGUUAGUGGGGGUAAGCUCCACGACCGAGAGGGGGACAACCCAGACUGAGGUUAAGGUCCCAAAGUGCUGGCUAAAUGUCAAACUAAAGGGCGUCGUCAGCCUCAGACAGCGGGGAGGUAGGCUCAGAAGCAGCCACCCUUCAAAGAAAGCGUAACAGCUCACCCGCCGAGGCUGACGGCCCCGAAAAUGGACGGGGCUAAGCCAGCCACCGAUACCUCAGAACACAAUUGCGAUUGCGUUGGUAGGAAGGCGUCCUGACUGGACAGAAGCUGGGCCGUGAGGUCCAGUGGACCGAUCAGGAUUGCAGAUCCCGGUGGUAGUAACAGCUAAGAGGGGUGAGACUCCCCUCCGCCGAAAGGGCCAGGGUUCCCCGGCAACGAUCGUCAGCCGGGGGUAAGUCGGUCCUAAGAUAUGGCCUAACCGACCAUGUCGAAAGGGAAUCCGGUUAAAAUUCCGGAACCACGAAGGUACGCGCGGCAACGCAAGCUCAACGUCUGACGCUUCGAGGUAGGCUGAGCAAGGCUGUCGCCUUGUUUAACCAUAUAAGUCUGGGAAGUGCCGUAAUGGCGAGAACCAGGUGAAAACGGGAAUAGCCGCCCGUUUUAGGGCGGUUCAGCUGAUUCUUGGAGCCAGUGAAAAGGGUGUUGAGAUGGAUCCUUCGUGUCCGUACCUAGAACCGACACAGGUGUCCCAAGGCGAGAAACCUAAGGCGUGUCGGGUAUACACUAGUGUGAGGGAACUCGGCAAUUUAGCCCCGUACCUUUGGUAUAAGGGGUGCCUGCCGUUUUUGCCUUUGGCUGGAAUGGCAGGUCGCAGUGACAUGGGGGUCCCGACUGUUUAAUAAAAACACAGGAAACCGCAAGCGCGAAAGCGUGUGAACGGUUUCUGAAUCCUGGCCAGUACAGGUACCUGAAACCUGGGUCCAACCGGGCCAAGGGCCUGCAAACGCCGGGAGUAACUCUGACUCUCUCAAGGUAGCCAAAUGCCUUGUCGGGUAAGUUCCGACGUGCAUGAAUGGAUCAACGAGGGCCCCGCUGUCCCCACGUAGUACCCGGUGAAACCACAUAACGUGGACGAACAGUCCACGAACUCCCAGCGGGAAAAGAAGUCCCUGUGGAGUUUUACUGCAGCCUGCCGCUGGAAUACGUUUGCGGAUGCAGAGCGUAGACGGGAGCCGUUAAUCCCGGUUUCUCAGGGAACUGGGGGAGGCAAAAAUGGAACACCGUCCUUCUGCGACCGUGUUUCUUACCGGCGCUUCGGCGCUGGAACAACGGUAGGUGGGCAGUUCGGCUGGGGCGGCACGCCCUUGAAAAGAUAUCAAGGGCGCCCUAAGGUCGGCUCAGACGGGACAGAAACCCGUCGUAGAGUGCAAAGGCAAAAGCCGGCCUGACUGGAUCCUCCAAAGUAAGGGAUCCAGAGGCGAAAGCCGGGCUUAGCGAUCAUCCAUGCUCCCCAUUGGUGGGGGCUGGAUGUGUCAGAAAAAUUACCCUAGGGAUAACAGGCUCGUCGCGGGCGAGAGUCCCUAUCGACCCCGCGGCUUGGUACCUCGAUGUCGGCUCUUCCUAUCCUGGCCCUGCAUAAGGGGCCAAGGGUGAGGCUGCUCGCCUAUUAAAAGGGAACGUGAGCUGGGUUUAGACCGUCGUGAGACAGGUCGGUUACUAUCUAUCAGGAGUGUUUGGAGUCUGAGGGUAAGAAUGAAAUAGUACGAGAGGAACUUUCAUUCGGCGCCUCUGGUCGAUCGGUUGUCUGACAAGGCAGUGCCGAGCAGCUACGCGCCAAGGGAUAAAAGCUGAAAGCAUCUAAGCUUGAAACCCGGCCUAAAAAGAGACUCCGUUGAGGACUCGGAUAAAAGAUCCGUUUGAUAGGCUUGGGAUGUACGCACGAAGGCAACGACGUGUUCAGUCCGCAAGUACUAACGUCCAAACACUAGUGCU